CUAUAAUCGAUACAGAGUCUCAUCGAUCCAACAUUCUUUCUAACAAAAAGAACAGGAGCUCCCCACAGGGAUGUACACGGUUGGAUGUAACCUUUGUUUACCCAUUCCUAGAGUUGGAUCUUCAAUUCUCUCAACUCCGCUGGUGCCAUUCGAUAAGGUGCCAAGGAAAUAUGAUUUGUACUCGGGAGUAAAUCCAUAGUAAACUCAAUUUCCCUCGCAGCUGGCAACCCCGGUAAAUCAUUAGGAAACACAUCGAUGAAGUUCCUUACAAUUGACACCUCUUAUGGACGUAAAGAAGGUUCAUCCUUCACAACUACGUGGGUUGAAAACCCCACACAACCCUUAUUCAACAACCUAGUUGCCCGAAUGGUAGAAAUAAUACUAUUGGGGAGGACACGUCGCUCACCCAUAAUUGUAACUGAUGGAAGUCCUGGCCGAUUAAAUGUCACAAUUUUUUCCCAGCAUGCGACAUUUGCUCGGUGCUUAGAUAGCCAAUCCAUUCCUAGAAUGACGUCAAACUCCGCCAGUUUGAAAGGAAGUAAAUCAAUCUCUAAGUUUUCCCCUUCCACAAUAACUGGACAAUUCCGAUAUUGCCAUUGAGCACAAAACAAUUCACCACGUGGCAUUUGAAUCAACAUAUCAAAACCUAGUGGUGGAGGUUGAGAAGGUAUAACCGAAGCAAAAGAUGAAGAAACAACAGACUAUGUAGCACUCGGAUCAAUUAAAACUCUAGCCCAAGUAUUACAGACAGGUAACGUAUGGGGUGAUAACUCAAGGAUCCUGAUCAGCCUCCUACU
RNAcentral lists this long non-coding RNA (797 nucleotides) under Malus domestica (apple). RNAcentral's name for it is "long non-coding RNA (MDOM_LNC005719)". Lineage: Eukaryota; Viridiplantae; Streptophyta; Magnoliopsida; Rosales; Rosaceae. The record is from RNAcentral.